RNAcentral lists this ribosomal RNA (395 nucleotides) under uncultured bacterium. RNAcentral describes it as "partial 16S ribosomal RNA". It matches the Rfam family "Bacterial small subunit ribosomal RNA", at positions 338 to 730 of the family's 1533-position model. The record is from RNAcentral.
CCUACGGGAGGCAGCAGUGAGGAAUAUUGGUCAAUGGACGGAAGUCUGAACCAGCCAUGCCGCGUGCAGGAUGACGGUUCCAUGAGUUGUAAACUUCUUUUGUCCAAGGCCAAACUCAGACUCGAGUACCUGUCCGAAGGUACUUGACGAAUAAGGAUCGGCUAACUCCGUGCCAGCAGCCGUGGUAAUACGGAGGAUUCAAGCGUUAUCCGGAUUUAUUGGGUUUAAAGGGUGCGUAGGCGGUCUGUUAAGUUAGAGGUGAAAUCCCGAGGCUCAACUUCGGGAUUGCCGUUGAAACUGUUCGUCUAGAGAGGAGGUGCGGUAGGCGGAAUGCGUGGUGUAGCGGUGAAAUGCUUAGAGAUCGUACAGAACACCGAUUGCGAAGGCAGCAUACC